CAAACAAUGGCCUAGUGUGGCUCUAAUGCGAACCAUGCAUCCAUUCUUUGAGCCCAACGAACCUAGCAAGAUUCAACUACCUUUGUUCCAAUCCCAGGCAACCAUCCCUUAGCCAACUAAACAAACUAUGAUGGGCAUACAUCCGAAACCAAUGCCAUCGCACCCAUAAGUAUCCUUAGCAUAUAAGAAGGAUAUCCUUGCCUUCGAGAUAUUUGGUUUCGCAUCCGAUAGCCAUGGAAUGCAGUUCAUGAAGAACUUGUUUAUUGGGUAUGGACGUGAAAACAGAAUUUCAUCAACAUUACCUCCAGCCAUUUGGGCUACCCAA
RNAcentral lists this long non-coding RNA (325 nucleotides) under Phoenix dactylifera (date palm). RNAcentral's name for it is "long non-coding RNA (PDAC_LNC001616)". Lineage: Eukaryota; Viridiplantae; Streptophyta; Magnoliopsida; Arecales; Arecaceae. The record is from RNAcentral.